CCUACGGGUGGCAGCAGUGAGGAAUAUUGGUCAAUGGCCGGGAGGCUGAACCAGCCAAGUCGCGUGAGGGAAGACGGCCCUACGGGUUGUAAACCUCUUUUGUCAGGGAGCAAGCUGCAGGGCGGGACCGGCUGUGAGAGUCUCUGAAGAAAAAGCAUCGGCUAACUCCGUGCCAGCAGCCGCGGUAAUACGGAGGAUUCGAGCGUUAUCCGGAUUUAGUGGGUUUAAAGGGUGCGUAGGCGGAGUGAUAAGUUAGAGGUGAAAUGUCCGGGCUUAACUCGGGAACUGCCUCUAAUACUGUUGAUCUAGAGAGUAGAUGCGGUAGGCGGAAUGUAUGGUGUAGCGGUGAAAUGCUUAGAGAUCAUACAGAACACCGAUUGCGAAGGCAGCUUACCAAUCUAUAUCUGACGUUGAGGCACGAAAGCGUGGGGAGCAAACAGGAUUAGAUACCCCAGUAGUC
Molecule: ribosomal RNA, 460 nt
Filed under: uncultured bacterium
Lineage: Bacteria
Description: partial 16S ribosomal RNA
Rfam family: Bacterial small subunit ribosomal RNA
Source: RNAcentral